ACGUCAGCGCCCGGGACAAGUGAGAUAGCUCUCCAAAACUUGUGCCCCGAGCCUCAGUCUGACCCACACUUUUAUUCUUAAAGACGUUCCAUAUGCAAUACACUGCACGACUUUUUCAUGCGUAUUCAACCCCUGGCCCCGCCUGUCCUCGCUUCUCAUGCUAACAGCUGCCACCGUGUUCUCUGCAUCUCGGAGCCUCUGGGGAGCAACAAGAAUUUCCAAGACGGUGUAGGAGCCCGUCUGAAGCCCCUCAUUUUCCGUUCUGCCUUCCGAUUGCCACGAGAAAGAAUCCCUUCCUCCACUGCAGUUCCGGCUUAGAACAGGACACAGUGCAGGUGCAACCACUGAACCGUCAUGCUAGCUGUUCCGAACAAGGCCUGGCAAGAACUUGGCAAGGACUUGGCAAGGACUUGGCAAAGACCUGACGUGGACCCAGCACGGGACAGCCUGAUGCGCGGCCUGCUUCUAAUCUCCGUUCUUAAGCCAAAUGAACUUUUGGGGUGACUCCCGGGGUCCUUCAUUGAAGACCCCUCAUCUGCCUCGUUACCAGUGUGACAAACAAAGAAUGAGAACCCUCCUCCCAAGGACUGAGACUGAGACCCCUGCUAUAGGGAGGAGGGGAAAUUGGUGGUCUGACCACUAAUGACAUGACCUGUUUCCCUUCAGUGAUUCAAAUGGACUUAUUCUUCAUUGUAUUCGUCUUGCUUUGGUGGUUUCUGUGGACUCAGCUGUUCCCGCGUGGCGAUUACAAUGGACUUUCGUUGUUACACUUGCUCCCCCCUCUUUCCUCUGUGGACUAUAACUGGAGCCCCGAGUCGACCAGAACUUCGGAGACUCCCCCGACACGACAGACGGAUCCCCAUCGUCCGGACCACUGAGGAUCUCGCCUGUGUUGGUAGCUAUUCCCAUACCCCUCUUCUCUCUCUCUCUCUCCUUUUAUCUCCUUUCCGAUCCCCACUAUCGCAUUUACUGUUUUGGCCCCUAAUAAAGGUGCAUUUGUUGUGAUUAA
Long non-coding RNA from Vidua chalybeata, 1009 nucleotides. RefSeq lists it as uncharacterized. The transcript is spliced from 2 exons. The record is from RefSeq and is a predicted model, not a curated record. Lineage: Eukaryota; Metazoa; Chordata; Aves; Passeriformes; Viduidae.